CACGUAGGGCGCAAGCGUUGUCCGGAAUUAUUGGGCGUAAAGAGCUCGUAGGCGGUCUGUUGCGUCCGCUGUGAAAACUCGGGGCUUAACCCCGAGCCUGCAGUGGAUACGGGCAGACUAGAGGUAGGUAGGGGAGAAUGGAAUUCCCGGUGUAGCGGUGAAAUGCGCAGAUAUCGGGAGGAACACCCGAGGCGAAGGCGGCUCUCUGGGUCGUACCUGACGCUGAGGCGCGAAAGCGUGGGGAGCGAACAGG
This 253-nucleotide ribosomal RNA is filed under the name uncultured bacterium. RNAcentral describes it as "partial 16S ribosomal RNA". It matches the Rfam family "Bacterial small subunit ribosomal RNA", at positions 524 to 776 of the family's 1533-position model. The record is from RNAcentral.